Molecule: long non-coding RNA, 518 nt
Filed under: Capsicum annuum
Lineage: Eukaryota; Viridiplantae; Streptophyta; Magnoliopsida; Solanales; Solanaceae
Description: long non-coding RNA (CANN_LNC015677)
Source: RNAcentral
CCCCUGGCUCAAGUCACGAGAUAUCACACAAACACAUAGUACAGCACAGAAGCAGAUGACAUAACAUAGAUACGACACCCAUAAGGAAUAUAAAACAGAGUAAAGCAGGAAGGCAUGAAUAUAAAGCAGAGGAAAGCACACAGAUUCGUAAUAAACAUGGAACACGGAACACAAAACACUGAAGGAAUACACCCCCACCAAUUUAUCCCUACACUAGCGACCCGAACUGGCCCUACUCCUCUGCCGUAAUUCGCAUCUUCCAGACCUUCCUAUCUAGGGUCAUGUCCUCGGUGAGCUGUAACUGUUCCAUGUCCCACCUAAUCACCUCACCCCAGUACUUCUUCGGUCUACCCCUUCCCCGUCUAAAACCAUCCAACGCUAGCCUCUCACACCUACGGACCGGGGCAUCCAUGCCCCUCCUCUUCACGUGUCCGAACCAUCUCAAUCGUGCUUCCCGCAUCUUACACUCCACUGAAGUCACACCAACCUUCUCCCGGAUAGUCUCAUUCCGAACUCUA